AUUGAACGCUGGCGGCAUGCUUUACACAUGCAAGUCGAACGGUAACAGGCCUUCGGGUGCUGACGAGUGGCGAACGGGUGAGUAAUGCAUCGGAACGUACCCAGAGGUGGGGGAUAACGCAGCGAAAGCUGUGCUAAUACCGCAUGUGAUCUGAGGAUGAAAGCGGGGGACCGAGCUGCUAUGUUUGGCCUCGCGCCUUUGGAGCGGCCGAUGUCGGAUUAGCUAGUUGGUGGGGUAAAGGCCUACCAAGGCGACGAUCCGUAGCUGGUCUGAGAGGACGACCAGCCACACUGGGACUGAGACACGGCCCAGACUCCUACGGGAGGCAGCAGUGGGGAAUUUUGGACAAUGGGCGCAAGCCUGAUCCAGCAAUGCCGCGUGCGGGAAGAAGGCCUUCGGGUUGUAAACCGCUUUUGGCAGGAACGAAACGGUGUCCGCUAAUACCGGGCGCUAAUGACGGUACCUGCAGAAUAAGCACCGGCUAACUACGUG
This 492-nucleotide ribosomal RNA is filed under the name uncultured bacterium. RNAcentral's name for it is "partial 16S ribosomal RNA". It matches the Rfam family "Bacterial small subunit ribosomal RNA", at positions 30 to 507 of the family's 1533-position model. The record is from RNAcentral.